RNAcentral lists this ribosomal RNA (252 nucleotides) under Triticum aestivum (bread wheat). Its description in RNAcentral is "partial small subunit ribosomal RNA". The record is from RNAcentral. Lineage: Eukaryota; Viridiplantae; Streptophyta; Magnoliopsida; Poales; Poaceae.
AUGAAGUUAUGCAGCCACAUUGAUGCCAACAUGGCGGCGACCAGUUUGGUCUUAGCUGAGCAGCAUUGCUGCAAUGGACUCAAGGAAGCCUGUCUACAGUUCCUUGCUUCUCCUUCCAAUUUGGAGGCGAUGAUGGCAAGUGAUGGCUACAAACAUCUCAAAAGCAGUUGCCCAUCUGCCCUCAAGGAGUUGAUUGCUAGGCUCCUGCCGCCUUAUAUGAAAGCUGCCAAGGAUAUUGUCAUGGCACUUUAG